RNAcentral lists this ribosomal RNA (245 nucleotides) under uncultured bacterium. Its description in RNAcentral is "partial 16S ribosomal RNA". It matches the Rfam family "Bacterial small subunit ribosomal RNA", at positions 89 to 334 of the family's 1533-position model. The record is from RNAcentral.
UACUGAGCGGCGGACGGGUGAGUAACGCGUGGGUAACCUGCCUCAUACGGGGGGAUAACAGUUAGAAAUGGCUGCUAAUACCGCAUAAGACCACAGCACCGCAUGGUGCAGGGGUAAAAACUCCGGUGGUAUGAGAUGGACCCGCGUCUGAUUAGGUAGUUGGUGGGGUAACGGCCUACCAAGCCGACGAUCAGUAGCCGACCUGAGAGGGUGACCGGCCACAUUGGGACUGAGACACGGCCCAA